UACGUAGGGGGCAAGCGUUAUCCGGAUUUACUGGGUGUAAAGGGGGCGCAGACGGCAGCGCAAGCCAGGAGUGAAAGCCCGGGGCCCAACCCCGGGACUGCUCUUGGAACUGCGCGGCUGGAGUGCAGGAGGGGCAGGCGGAAUUCCUGGUGUAGCGGUGAAAUGCGUAGAUAUCAGGAGGAACACCGGUGGCGAAGGCGGCCUGCUGGACUGCGACUGACGUUGUGGCCCGAAAGCGUGGGGAGCAAACAGG
RNAcentral lists this ribosomal RNA (253 nucleotides) under uncultured bacterium. Its description in RNAcentral is "partial 16S ribosomal RNA". It matches the Rfam family "Bacterial small subunit ribosomal RNA", at positions 524 to 776 of the family's 1533-position model. The record is from RNAcentral.